This 486-nucleotide ribosomal RNA is filed under the name uncultured bacterium. Its description in RNAcentral is "partial 16S ribosomal RNA". It matches the Rfam family "Bacterial small subunit ribosomal RNA", at positions 30 to 507 of the family's 1533-position model. The record is from RNAcentral.
AUUGAACGCUGGCGGCAUGCCUUACACAUGCAAGUCGAACGGCAGCACGGGUGCUUGCACCUGGUGGCGAGUGGCGAACGGGUGAGUAAUACAUCGGAACAUGUCCUGUAGUGGGGGUUAGCCCGGCGAAAGCCGGAUUAAUACCGCAUACGAUCUACGGAUGAAAGCGGGGGACCUUCGGGCCUCGCUCUAUAGGGUUCUCCGAUGGCUGAUUAGCUAGUUGGUGGGGUAAAGGCCUACCAAGGCGACGAUCAGUAGCUGGUCUGAGAGGACGACAGGCCACACUGGGACUGGGACACGGCCCAGACUCCUACGGGAGGCAGCAGUGGGGAAUUUUGGACAAUGGGCGAAAGCCUGAUCCAGCAAUGCCGCGUGUGUGAAGAAGGCCUUCGGGUUGUAAAGCACUUUUGUCCGGAAAGAAAUCCUUGGCCCUAAUACGGUCGGGGGAUGACGGUACCGGAAGAAUAAGCACCGGCUAACUACGUG